Rostrohypoxylon terebratum is the source of this 105-nucleotide non-coding RNA. Lineage: Eukaryota; Fungi; Ascomycota; Sordariomycetes; Xylariales; Hypoxylaceae. The record is from the annotation of a GenBank genome assembly.
GCCCGCUUGGCUUAGUGGUAAAGCGCAUCACUAGUACUGAAGUAUUUCAAUACUUCUAUCACUAGUGUAAUGAUGAGAUCACUGGUUCGAUUCCAGUAGUGGGCA